RNAcentral lists this ribosomal RNA (241 nucleotides) under uncultured Staphylococcus sp. RNAcentral describes it as "partial 16S ribosomal RNA". It matches the Rfam family "Bacterial small subunit ribosomal RNA", at positions 99 to 334 of the family's 1533-position model. Lineage: Bacteria; Bacillati; Bacillota; Bacilli; Caryophanales; Staphylococcaceae. The record is from RNAcentral.
CGGACGGGUGAGUAACACGUGGAUAACCUACCUAUAAGACUGGGAUAACUUCGGGAAACCGGAGCUAAUACCGGAUAAUAUAUUGAACCGCAUGGUUCAAUAGUGAAAGACGGUUUUGCUGUCACUUAUAGAUGGAUCCGCGCCGCAUUAGCUAGUUGGUAAGGUAACGGCUUACCAAUGCAACGAUGCGUAGCCUACCUGAGAGGGUGAUCGGCCACACUGGAACUGAGACACGGUCCAU